CUUCCUUUCAUAUCAAAAAUUCUUGAAACAGCAGUUGUCAAACAGCUAACAGAUCAUCUGCAGAGGAAUGGCUUAUCUGAAGAGUUUCAGUCAGGUUUCAUAGCUCAUCACAGCACAGAAACAGCUUUAGUGAAGGUUACAAAUGAUUUAAAUUCCCGGUUAUUGUUGACCGAGCACACCGCUCGUUGAGACCUCCACCGGCGGCGGGCGCAGCACCAAGACCAUUUAUCGCACGAAUCCACUUUUAUCGGGAUAAAGAACUCAUUCUGUGGCUGCGAAGAGACCGAGCGUUGGAAUACCAGGGCCACAAGGUGCUCAUCUUUCCGGAUUACACACCGGAGGUGAGGAAGCAACGACGUGAGUUCAGCGAGGUGUUGAAGACAUUGCGGGAGAAAAAAAUGGAACACAGUCUUCGGUAUCCAGCUAAACUUCAUGUGAAAUACAAUGGACAUCUGAAGGUCUUUGCUACAUCGGCAUGUCUUUGUUCUGUUUUCCUUCUCUCACCCCAACCGGUCGCAGCAGAUGGCCGCCCCUUCCUGAGCCUGGUUCUGCCGGAGGUUUCUUCCUGUUAAAAGGGAGUUUUUCCUUCCCACUGUUGCCAAAGUGCUUGCUCAUAGGGGGUCAUAUGAUUGUUGGGUUUUUCUCUGUAUCUAUUAUUGUAUGAUCUACUGUACAGUAUAAAGCGCCUUGAGGCGACUGUUGUUGUGAUUUGGCAUUAUAUAAAUAAAACUGAAUUGAAACUCAGUCACUAAAUGCAUUUCACACUUGCACUGGAAAAAUGUUAACACAACUCCAACACAGCUGUCACCUUUCACAUGCAGCAACUCAC
Molecule: long non-coding RNA, 829 nt
Organism: Oreochromis aureus
Lineage: Eukaryota; Metazoa; Chordata; Actinopteri; Cichliformes; Cichlidae
Source: Ensembl